AGAGUUUGAUCCUGGCUCAGGAUGAACGCUAGCUACAGGCUUAACACAUGCAAGUCGAGGGGCAGCAUGGUCUUAUCUUGCUAAGGCCGAUGGCGACCGGCGCACGGGUGAGUAACACGUAUCCAACCUGCCGUCUACUCUUGGACAGCCUUCUGAAAGGAAGAUUAAUACAAGAUGGCAUCAUGAGUCCGCAUGUUCACAUGAUUAAAGGUAUUCCGGUAGACGAUGGGGAUGCGUUCCAUUAGAUAGUAGGCGGGGUAACGGCCCACCUAGUCUUCGAUGGAUAGGGGUUCUGAGAGGAAGGUCCCCCACAUUGGAACUGAGACACGGUCCAAACUCCUACGGGAGGCAGCAGUGAGGAAUAUUGGUCAAUGGACGAGAGUCUGAACCAGCCAAGUAGCGUGAAGGAUGACUGCCCUAUGGGUUGUAAACUUCUUUUAUACGGGAAUAAAGUGAGGCACGAGUGCCUUUUUGUAUGUACCGUAUGAAUAAGGAUCGGCUAACUCCGUGCCAGCAGCCGCGGUAAUACGGAGGAUCCGAGCGUUAUCCGGAUUUAUUGGGUUUAAAGGGAGCGUAGGCGGACGCUUAAGUCAGUUGUGAAAGUUUGCGGCUCAACCGUAAAAUUGCAGUUGAUACUGGGUGUCUUGAGUACAGUAGAGGCAGGCGGAAUUCGUGGUGUAGCGGUGAAAUGCUUAGAUAUCACGAAGAACUCCGAUUGCGAAGGCAGCCUGCUGGCCUGUAACUGACGCUGAUGCUCGAAAGUGUGGGUAUCAAACAGGAUUAGAUACCCUGGUAGUCCACACAGUAAACGCCGAAAACGAGCUGUUUGCGAUAUACAGUAAGCGGCCAAGCGAAAGCGUUAAGUAUUCCACCUGGGGAGUACGCCGGCAACGGUGAAACUCAAAGGAAUUGACGGGGGCCCGCACAAGCGGAGGAACAUGUGGUUUAAUUCGAUGAUACGCGAGGAACCUUACCCGGGCUUGAAUUGCAACUGAAUGAUGUGGAGACAUGUCAGCCGCAAGGCAGUUGUGAAGGUGCUGCAUGGUUGUCGUCAGCUCGUGCCGUGAGGUGUCGGCUUAAGUGCCAUAACGAGCGCAACCCUUAUCGAUAGUUACCAUCAGGUUAUGCUGGGGACUCUGUCGAGACUGCCGUCGUAAGAUGUGAGGAAGGUGGGGAUGACGUCAAAUCAGCACGGCCCUUACGUCCGGGGCUACACACGUGUUACAAUGGGGGGUACAGAAGGCAGCUACACGGCGACGUGAUGCUAAUCCCGAAAGCCUCUCUCAGUUCGGAUUGGAGUCUGCAACCCGACUCCAUGAAGCUGGAUUCGCUAGUAAUCGCGCAUCAGCCACGGCGCGGUGAAUACGUUCCCGGGCCUUGCACUCACCGCCCGUCA
RNAcentral lists this ribosomal RNA (1396 nucleotides) under uncultured bacterium. Its description in RNAcentral is "16S ribosomal RNA". It matches the Rfam family "Bacterial small subunit ribosomal RNA". The record is from RNAcentral.